RNAcentral lists this ribosomal RNA (449 nucleotides) under uncultured bacterium. RNAcentral describes it as "partial 16S ribosomal RNA". It matches the Rfam family "Bacterial small subunit ribosomal RNA", at positions 29 to 523 of the family's 1533-position model. The record is from RNAcentral.
AAUGAACGCUGGCGGCAUGCCUAACACAUGCAAGUCGAACGAAGCCUUCGGGCUUAGUGGCGCACGGGUGCGUAACGCUUGGGAAUCUGCCCUUGGGUUCGGAAUAACUCUCCGAAAGGAGUGCUAAUACCGGAUGAUGUCGAAAGACCAAAGAUUUAUCGCCCAGGGAUGAGCCCGCGUAGGAUUAGCUAGUUGGUGAGGGAAAAGCUCACCAAGGCGACGAUCCUUAGCUGGUCUGGGAGGAUGAUCAGCCGCACUGGGACUGAGACACGGCCCGGACACGUACGGGAGGCAGCGGUGGGGAAUAUGGGACAAUCUGCGAAAGGCUGGUCCAGCUAUGCGACGUGAGUGAUGAAGGCCUUAGGGUUGUAGAGCUCUUUUAGCCGGGAUGAUAAUGACAGUACGGGGAGAAUAAGCCUCGGCUAACUGCGUGGCAGCAGCCGCGGUAG